Non-coding RNA from Physcomitrium patens, 2665 nucleotides. NCBI's taxonomy places the organism in Eukaryota, Viridiplantae, Streptophyta, Bryopsida, Funariales, Funariaceae. The record is from RefSeq and is a predicted model, not a curated record.
UCCAAAUAUGCCUUCCCCAGGGGCAAACCAUAUCAGCAACCAAACUCGUUGCAACCAUUUCGAAACCAAUCGAGCAGACGAUCCGCCUCCAAUAGCUUCAAAAAGCACUCAUCACAAUGCAAUCCGCAGAGAAUUUCAACACCUCACUCCAUUCUAGUCGCCAACAUAAACAAACCAGAAAGCAAUCCACAUGGACCGAACGUGCACCUCACAUCCGCGCCCCAACUGCAAAGACGCACUGGUGAUCCACCCUCACUCGCAUGACCCCACGCGGACAAAACCACUGCUGCGCAUCUCAUUGGCUCACGACCUCCAAAUCUUUCUGCCCUGUCACGUUCCUCACUAGCAGCAAAGCUAAGCCUUCAGGGCUCCUCAAUUCGAGUUUAGCUCAAGCCUGGACAUGCUGUGCAAUGCAAUGGCGCGGGCUCCUUGUUGGUUUGCAGCAUUCUAGUCUUUCCGUGUGGCUUCGAAGCACUCUGGAUGGAUGCAGGUAGCUCCUUGCCUGAGCAGCACCUUCAAUUCCGCGUCUAGUUUGCACGCUGCGUGGCAGCACAUGUUCCUGUGGCGAGUCCUAUUUCGGACAAACCGUAACUGCUUGUGGCGGUCGGUUGUGUUCGGGAUUUGGGUUGCGAUACUUGGUGUUCCCCGCGCAACAUGGGUCUUCUGCGGAUAUGACCACGCUGCCGGCGAUUGCACGAAGCGCUGCCUUGUUCCGAUUUUAGGUUUCUGUAGGCUCGCUCUGUGAUUGGAGCGGAUUCCUGUUGCAGCUGAAAGUGCUGUCGCCUCCUGAAGCGCUUUGGAUUUCGGAAACCGCAACGACUGGGCGCAAACACGCGAGUGCGAGAGCCACACGGGCUGUUGCGGCGGUUUCUUCCAGCGAUGAGAAUCGGACUGGCGGGCCAAUUUUGCACCGCCUGGAGGGAAAUGCCGUCUGGGCGCUGUUCGAGGAGCGCGCUGCUGUGAAGCUUUCCGGACUCGUUGCGUGUUCGAGGUCGGGAGCGUACCCCUGUCAUGGCAAUUUCGGCACUCUCCCCUCACACGCUCGGCCGUUGUGCCCCGGGUGCUGGGGCACCGCAAUGCAGCGCCAGGAGGGAGCCGCGCAAUGCAUGCAGCAGUCCAUGGGCGGAGUUCGAACGCAAGGAUACUUUUCAAUUUGUAGGAGCUCGAAAUUGCAACGACAGACAGUGGAGGGCGGCAAGCCGAGAUUGCAGGGUGAAGAACUGGAGACACGGGCAAUGUCGGUGUUCCGGACAACAAUUUCUGCCGGAUGAAACCAAACCAUCUAUCUCGCGACGCCCUUCCGCGACCACCCCGCGGUCUCUCCUCUCUCCAGCCAAGACGUACUUGGAGGCCGAGCUGACCUCCGAGGACAAGUUCUGGGUGAUCGCGGCCUCCACCCCCGAGGAGCUCCUGGCGGCUGCCACACUUCGAGCGCAGAUAUUCUAUUCGUACCCCCAAGUGGACAUGACAUUGGCUGGCAUCGAAGCCGUCGGGGCGCGCGUGGCAAACGACUUGAUCAUCGACGACCUGCUGAGAACGAGGCGGAAAUCGGAAUUCACCAGGGAGAGCAAGUUCGAAGCGCUGGGCAUGCGUGUGAAGUGUCUGUUAGCUGUGUGCCGGCAAUCUAGCGUAGAAUCGAUAGGCGGGGGCGUUGCUACGUCGUGCCUCCUCGCUCCGCCGCCUGUACCUUCGAUCGACAGCAGCUCCACGGGAGCACUGGUUGCAAUCGGCACCCUUGACGUACAGGAACCAAGGCCACUGCAGAUGUCAACCUUGUCACCUUCCAGCUCCAUGCUGUGGCACAUAGAGCCCAGCAACGGAAGAAUCGGGUGGGUGUCAAAGCUAGCAAUCUCAUGGCUUGCAACACCAAGUUUGCUUCCAAAGCCAGAGUAUACUCUGCGUCCUUUUCGGGCAGUCGUGAUUCAGAUAGAGAGCCUCCAUGAUUUGCAGUGUCCGCGGUUGACGCACCUCGUCGCUGCGCGAUUGUUGUAGUCGGUAAGCUUGCAUUAGGCAGUCGGGGAUUGUGUGUUUUUGGUUCUUCGGAGGGUCGGAUUUGCGAAGGCAGUGGGCGUUUGAGGGAGUGGCAGGCAAUCUGCAGUGCAGCUUCCUCCGUCCGAUGUGCACCGCCGGCACAAAUCACCCAGCCGGACUUUCUGGUAAUUGUGGUGAGGGGUAUCAGUGCGAAGUACUCGGGUGGAUUGUGGAGCUGAAUAGGAACGGCUUGUUUUGACAGAGGAUGCGCGGCUGUGGGUGUUGGCGCAGGUCCAGAAGGGCAGGAAUAGCGGAACGGAUUAUUUCCCGGUGGAACAUGAGGACACGUUCGACCAAGCGUACAUUUUCAACCUUGGUGUCAUUGCGGCGGCCAGAAGGAUGGGGGUUGGAAAGGCUCUCAUGGUGGCAGCUCUCAAGGUAGCCAAGCAAAUGGAGCUUCAAGUGCUAUUCGUGCAUGUGGAGGAGGAUAACAGCGGCGCCUUGGCGUUGUACAAGAGCCUAGGGUAUGGAGUGGUGGAGGAGGAGGAGGAAGCUGUAGAGGUGCAAGGUCUGCUGAGCAGGCCCCGCCGAAUGCUGUUGAGCUUUUGGCUGUUGUGACAGAUCACUGGGUGGUGGACUACUAUUCCACAACUCUCCACCCCCGGUAAUAAAAUGCUCACGCUGUUCGUCGCGA